GAUGAACGCUGGCGGCGUGCCUAAUACAUGCAAGUAGAACGCUGAAGCUUGGUGCUUGCACCGAGCGGAUGAGUUGCGAACGGGUGAGUAACGCGUAGGUAACCUGCCUCUUAGCGGGGGAUAACUAUUGGAAACGAUAGCUAAUACCGCAUAAAAGUCGACAUCGCAUGAUAUUGAUUUGAAAGGUGCAAUUGCAUCACUAAGAGAUGGACCUGCGUUGUAUUAGCUAGUUGGUGAGGUAACGGCUCACCAAGGCGACGAUACAUAGCCGACCUGAGAGGGUGAUCGGCCACACUGGGACUGAGACACGGCCCAGACUCCUACGGGAGGCAGCAGUAGGGAAUCUUCGGCAAUGGGGGCAACCCUGACCGAGCAACGCCGCGUGAGUGAAGAAGGUUUUCGGAUCGUAAAGCUCUGUUGUAAGAGAAGAACGAGUGUGAGAGUGGAAAGUUCACACUGUGACGGUAACUUACCAGAAAGGGACGGCUAACUACGUGCCAGCAGCCGCGGUAAUACGUAGGUCCCGAGCGUUAUCCGGAUUUAUUGGGCGUAAAGCGAGCGCAGGCGGUUAGAUAAGUCUGAAGUUAAAGGCUGUGGCUUAACCAUAGUACGCUUUGGAAACUGUUUAACUUGAGUGCAGAAGGGGAGAGUGGAAUUCCAUGUGUAGCGGUGAAAUGCGUAGAUAUAUGGAGGAACACCGGUGGCGAAAGCGGCUCUCUGGUCUGUAACUGACGCUGAGGCUCGAAAGCGUGGGGAGCAAACAGG
RNAcentral lists this ribosomal RNA (765 nucleotides) under uncultured Streptococcus sp. RNAcentral describes it as "bacterial SSU rRNA". It matches the Rfam family "Bacterial small subunit ribosomal RNA", at positions 28 to 776 of the family's 1533-position model. The record is from RNAcentral. Lineage: Bacteria; Bacillati; Bacillota; Bacilli; Lactobacillales; Streptococcaceae.